UUAUUGGAGAGUUUGAUCCUGGCUCAGGAUGAACGCUGGCGGCGUGCCUAAUACAUGCAAGUCGAGCGAAUGGAUUAAGAGCUUGCUCUUAUGAAGUUAGCGGCGGACGGGUGAGUAACACGUGGGUAACCUGCCCAUAAGACUGGGAUAACUCCGGGAAACCGGGGCUAAUACCGGAUAACAUUUUGAACCGCAUGGUUC
RNAcentral lists this ribosomal RNA (201 nucleotides) under Bacillus cereus. RNAcentral's name for it is "partial 16S ribosomal RNA". It matches the Rfam family "Bacterial small subunit ribosomal RNA", at positions 1 to 196 of the family's 1533-position model. Lineage: Bacteria; Bacillati; Bacillota; Bacilli; Caryophanales; Bacillaceae. The record is from RNAcentral.